Molecule: long non-coding RNA, 1980 nt
Filed under: Chelonus insularis
Lineage: Eukaryota; Metazoa; Arthropoda; Insecta; Hymenoptera; Braconidae
Description: uncharacterized LOC118069574, transcript variant X1
Source: RNAcentral
CAGUUACUGAUUUUCACUGAUUUAUUCCAAGAGAGCAUCCAUUCUGGAUAAAAAUAUUUUUUUAUGGUGUAGAUGAUAAUAAUAAUCAUAAUAGGAACUGAAAAGUAAAAUUAUCAGUGAAAAUAAUAAGUAUUCUUGAUGUGGAGAUUGAUUUACCAAACUAACAAUGAGAAUAAAAAAUUAAAUUUCAAUUGAUUGGACCUACGAUGCAAAAUGUCGGUUAUUAAGAGAAACCUAUUAUUAAAUAAUCCCUUGUUCUUUCGCAUGUCUCUUCUUCGGUAUGUUUCUUUUUCUUCGACCCAUACUCACGAUUGGAAAGUGUCUGAGAAAGAAAAAAAAAUAACCAGUGAAUCUGGCUUUGUUGAUUCAAAAGCGAUAAUACUAGACUGUAAAACUUUUUUCUCGCCCUCAUCGAAUGUAGACGGUAGACAGCAGCAAAAAACUAUCAUGGAAAUAGAGAUAGCACAUUCAUAUAAUUACUGAUCCGUAUUUAAUUUUAUAAUGAACUUUAGGCAGUAUUUUAUUGAUGUAACCUGACAGUUUCAAUCAUCAUCAAUACGUUUAAUGUGGAUCCAAAGAUUUUAUAAUACUGAGUACUCAAUAAAAAGUUCACAUGGGCUUUUCGAUUUUUGCUUGGAAUUCCAGAUGGAAAGAUAUUAUUUUCUUUUCUUCUUGCUUCUUACCAAGAUUCACGAACGAAUCGAUAGGUUUCGGGAGUCUUAAACAUUCGACUAUGGAGAAACACCUUGGAUUUAAUUGCCACUGGAAGUUGAUACAAAAAAAAGAUAAAAAUAUAAAGAAAGUGGAAAACAUAUAUCAUUGUGUAAUGUUGUGAUACAUUGAGUGAUUUUAUCUAGGGGUCACAAUUUGGGCACUUGUUUACCGGGUGAUUAAACUUCACCGUAAAAAAUUCUGAUUCAAUCUUCUGCAUAAAUAAGACAACUGACAUCACAGAGGAUGACGUAAAUGAAAUCAACUAUCAGAUGGACAAUGUUGAAGUAAUUUAAAAAAAAAGUUAAAUACUCGAAUUCACAUAUAAAGCAUAAAUAAGUUGUCGGAAAAGUUGGAUUAUAGUGAAAUAAACGUUGGACAGGACGGUUAUAUACUCAGACUUGUGGACCUCGAGCUCAUAAGCUUCCAUAUUUAUCUGUAGUGAGUGCUUAUAAAAUUGUUAGCUUAUGUUUCAGGAUUCACAACAAAGUUCACUCGUUCAGAUGAGAGAAAGAAGGAAAGAAAUUUUCAGUCAAGUCAAAACUUGUGUAAUACACUUUUAUUUAUAUAUAUAUAUAUUCAAGUAGAUAUUAUAAAGAAGCUGGUUUUUUUUUGAAGUUUAAAGGACUUGGAUGAUACAAGUAAGUCAAAAAAAAAUUGUGGGGAGCGCGAAAAAAGUAGAGAGGGAGUUGUGAACUGGCGUAACGGUAAGGAGACAAGCCUAGUGAUUUAAUUACACGCUACUUUACUCAGAACUCACUACACUGACUCUUAUGCUCUCUCGUCGACACACUCGAAAUAUCUCUAAUUGUACGAGAGAUUCUUCGGCUAAGUAAUGCUCAUAAAAAAAUAAAUAAUUAUGAAGUGAUAUAGCCGAGAUUGUGUGGAAUGACGUUUAAGAGUUCAGCCCCUUAGUGGACGCUUUAAGAAAGGAUGUUGGUGGCAUCGCUUGAGUGACGUUGGAGUAUGAGUGCAGCCACAUUAAUGCUGUGCGUGCCCUAUAGCAAUUCACUGCAUGAUCAUGAAGAGAUUUGCGAUUUGCUCAGGAUUUAAUGUAGAAGGAAACGGGCAUAGUUGUUUCAUCGCGCAACACUGAUUCACUGAGCAGUUAAAACUCAUCUUGGACCUCUGGGUUUUACUUAAUAAGAAAUACUCUAGAAUUUAGGAUCACAAGAUGCUGAUUCGCUGCAUAGCUUUGUAAUUUUCACUAUAAGUAACAAAAAUGCCGGCAAAAUUUGCUACGCCAUCUGGUGGAAGCGUCAUGAUGAC